RNAcentral lists this ribosomal RNA (587 nucleotides) under uncultured bacterium. RNAcentral's name for it is "bacterial SSU rRNA". It matches the Rfam family "Bacterial small subunit ribosomal RNA", at positions 338 to 916 of the family's 1533-position model. The record is from RNAcentral.
CCUACGGGAGGCAGCAGUGGGGAAUUUUGGACAAUGGGGGCAACCCUGAUCCAGCCAUGCCGCGUGUGUGAAGAAGGCCUUCGGGUUGUAAAGCACUUUCGGCCGGAACGAAAUCGCGCGGGUGAAUAUCCCGUGUGGAUGACGGUACCGGAAGAAGAAGCACCGGCUAACUACGUGCCAGCAGCCGCGGUAAUACGUAGGGUGCGAGCGUUAAUCGGAAUUACUGGGCGUAAAGUGUGCGCAGGUGGCCGCGCAAGUCGAGUGUGAAAUCCCCGAGCUUAACUUGGGAAUUGCGCUCGAAACUACGUGGCUCGAGUGUGGCAGAGGAAGGUGGAAUUCCACGUGUAGCGGUGAAAUGCGUAGAGAUGUGGAGGAACACCGAUGGCGAAGGCAGCCUUCUGGGCCAACACUGGCGCUCAUGCACGAAAGCGUGGGGAGCAAACAGGAUUAGAUACCCUGGUAGUCCACGCCCUAAACGAUGAUGACUAGUUGUUGGGGGAGUUAAAUCCCUUAGUAACGCAGCUAACGCGUGAAGUCAUCCGCCUGGGGAGUACGGUCGCAAGAUUAAAACUCAAAGGAAUUGACGG